Molecule: small nucleolar RNA, 74 nt
Filed under: Hippocampus comes (tiger tail seahorse)
Lineage: Eukaryota; Metazoa; Chordata; Actinopteri; Syngnathiformes; Syngnathidae
Description: Small nucleolar RNA SNORD24 (ENSHCOG00000001644.1)
Rfam family: Small nucleolar RNA SNORD24
About the family: U24 is a member of the C/D class of snoRNA which contain the C (UGAUGA) and D (CUGA) box motifs. C/D box snoRNAs have been shown to act as methylation guides for a number of RNA targets. U24 is encoded within an intron of the gene for ribosomal protein L7a in mammals, chicken and Fugu.
Source: RNAcentral
CGCAAAUGAUGUAAGCGAAUAUUUGCUAUCUUACCACCACUGAAGACAAUCUUCCCACCAAGAUCGCUGAUGCG